Molecule: long non-coding RNA, 1184 nt
Organism: Pistacia vera
Lineage: Eukaryota; Viridiplantae; Streptophyta; Magnoliopsida; Sapindales; Anacardiaceae
Exons: 4
Source: RefSeq, a predicted model, not a curated record
CAGUGUUCUCUCUCUUUUUUUUUUUUUUUUUUUUUUUUGUGUUGAAUCUCAGAAACGGAAAUAGGUCUUUUGUUUAUUGAUCCAGAAAUGAGCAAUCUCGAGGGAUUUCUAUUCCCUCCUACUGAUGAUGAAAUCUUCUUUUUUCUGAAGGAGUAGAAGAGAUUUGACCGUAAUUUCUCUGUUCAAUUCAUAUCCAAUAUUUAUAUUUAAGAGUUUGAAGCGCCGAAUUUAUCAGGCGUUUCGCAACUCACUCGUUUUAUCUCGUUUGGUUCGAAUCUUAAGCAGAACCUCAACUACUAUACGUAGUACCUAUGAGUUGUUUUGGGACUAGUCUUAGUUGUUUUUCAUGGGUGAGAAAGAGUGCAUAUCUUUCAGUAGGGCGGGCCUGCUGGAAUUCAAAUUUAUUUUUCUACAAUUAUUUUUUAUAUUAUUUGUUGUUUUUUAUCUGUGAAUUUAUUGCGUAAUAGUUAUUAGAUCGAGUUUGAAAUUUAGGGUUUGACGAGUUGGAAUCACAGCUAGUACAGUGUGAUUGAAUUAUCAUGUUUAGAAUACCACUGCAAUGAAUCUGAACCUUUGGAUAGGCUAGAAAGGUUGUGAAAGUGAAAGUUUGACGACUUUGAGAAGCCAUUUUCAUGGAUCCGACCUAUGGUGGAAACUUGUGGGUGACGUCACCUGGUACUGUUGGUUUUCAUACGGCGGGGUUUGCUGCUCUACGUCAAGAGCUAGAAGUUGACUCAGAAGGAGCUCCAUCACGUGCUGCGGUUGAAUCUACUCAAACGGAUGGAAAUGGAAAUGAAUAUGUCGACUCAGAAGUGGCUUCACCUCUUGCUGCAGUUGAAUCUACUCAAACGGAUGGAAAUGGAGAAAAUGUUGACUCAGAAGUAGCACUACCACUUGCUGCUGUUAUCUAUUCAAACAGAUUCACUUGCUGGGGUUGAAACUAUUCAAACUGAUAAUAGUGGAAAUGAAGAUGUUGACUCCGAAGUAUACCACCACUUACUGAUCGAAAGAGGUCACAGGGCUCAAUGGAUGUUGUUGUCUUUAUUUAUAUGAUUGAUAUUUAUCCUUCUGUCCUAUAUUUAUUUAAUUUGUAAUUUAUUUGGCAUAGACUUUUCUGUUAAAUAAAUGCAUGAUACUUGAAGUUCAGGUGAUAUUAUAUUUAACUAAUUUGUUCUUGCCUUAUU